AUGUCUCUCACCACUCUGUUUCUGUUACUGACAGCUGCACCCUAUGUGCAAUGUGCUGUUGACUUCACCCAACCAAGCUCAAUGGUCUUCAAGCCUGGAGAUUCUAUGACUAUUAGCUGUAAGGUGUCUGGUUACUCUCUUACGAGUAACAGCUACGCAACAGCGUGGAUCCGACAGCCUGCUGGGAAAACACUGGAGUGGAUAGUGCACAUAUGGGGGGGUGGUUCUAUCACUCAAAAAGAGUCCCUGAAGAGCAAGUUCAGCAUCUCUAAAGAUCCCUCCAGCAGCUCAGUAACUCUAACAGGGCAGAAUCUACAGACUGAAGACUCAGCUGUCUAUUACUGUGCAAGAUAUCACUGUGACACCAACCAGUAG
Molecule: non-coding RNA, 375 nt
Organism: Alosa alosa (allis shad)
Lineage: Eukaryota; Metazoa; Chordata; Actinopteri; Clupeiformes; Clupeidae
Source: the annotation of a RefSeq genome assembly